AGAACUAGGAGGGGAGAGACGGGGAAUUCUUUCGCUAGUAUGACCUACCUAAGUUUAUUUGUUAUUUAAUUGGUUGGUCAGAAUAUAGGGAUAAUAUGUGAUAUGUUUAUUAACCCUUGUUUUGUGGCAGUAUCUGAAAAUGGCAUCCGAGAAUGUUGAGAACAUCAAUGGAGCACAUGAGACCGUUGAGUCUCCACAGAUCAAUAGUCAGGAUAAUGUGCAUCAGGAAGGCGACAAUCCUCAGGCAAACAACAAC
Molecule: long non-coding RNA, 256 nt
Filed under: Panax ginseng (ginseng)
Lineage: Eukaryota; Viridiplantae; Streptophyta; Magnoliopsida; Apiales; Araliaceae
Description: long non-coding RNA (PGIN_LNC016006)
Source: RNAcentral